This 305-nucleotide ribosomal RNA is filed under the name uncultured bacterium. Its description in RNAcentral is "bacterial SSU rRNA". It matches the Rfam family "Bacterial small subunit ribosomal RNA", at positions 335 to 632 of the family's 1533-position model. The record is from RNAcentral.
UGGCCUACGGGAGGCAGCAGUGGGGAAUAUUGGGCAAUGGGCGCAAGCCUGACCCAGCAACGCCGCGUGAGGGACGAAGGUCUUCGGAUCGUAAACCUCUGUCAGCAGGGAAGAACGGUCACUGUGCUAAUCAGCAGUGAAUUGACGGUACCUGCAAAGGAAGCACCGGCUAACUCCGUGCCAGCAGCCGCGGUAAUACGGAGGGUGCGAGCGUUAAUCGGAAUUACUGGGCGUAAAGCGCUCGUAGGCGGUAUGUCAAGUCAAGGAUGAAAUCCCCGCGCUCAACGUGGGAACUGCCUUUGAAA